RNAcentral lists this ribosomal RNA (274 nucleotides) under uncultured bacterium. Its description in RNAcentral is "partial 16S ribosomal RNA". It matches the Rfam family "Bacterial small subunit ribosomal RNA", at positions 523 to 796 of the family's 1533-position model. The record is from RNAcentral.
AUACGGAGGGUCCGAGCGUUAUCCGGAAUCAUUGGGUUUAAAGGGUCCGUAGGCGGGAAUCUAAGUCAGUGGUGAAAUCUUGCAGCUCAACUGUAAAAUUGCCAUUGAUACUGGAUUUCUUGAAUUAGUGUGAAGUGGUUAGAAUGUGUAGUGUAGCGGUGAAAUGCAUAGAUAUUACACAGAAUACCAAUUGCGAAGGCAGAUCACUACCACUAUAUUGACGCUAAGGGACGAAAGCGUGGGGAGCGAACAGAAUUAGAAACCCUAGUAGUCC